This 430-nucleotide ribosomal RNA is filed under the name uncultured rumen bacterium. RNAcentral describes it as "bacterial SSU rRNA". It matches the Rfam family "Bacterial small subunit ribosomal RNA", at positions 354 to 776 of the family's 1533-position model. The record is from RNAcentral.
GUGGGGAAUAUUGCACAAUGGGCGCAAGCCUGAUGCAGCCAUGCCGCGUGUAUGAAGAAGGCCUUCGGGUUGUAAAGUACUUUCAGCGGGGAGGAAGGGAGUAAAGUUAAUACCUCUACUCAUUGACGUUACCCGCAGAAGAAGCACCGGCUAACUCCGUGCCAGCAGCCGCGGUAAUACGGAGGGUGCAAGCGUUAAUCGGAAUUACUGGGCGUAAAGCGCACGCAGGCGGUUUGUUAAGUCAGAUGUGAAAUCCCCGGGCUCAACCUGGGAACUGCAUCUGAUACUGGCAAGCUUGAGUCUCGUAGAGGGGGGUAGAAUUCCAGGUGUAGCGGUGAAAUGCGUAGAGAUCUGGAGGAAUACCGGUGGCGAAGGCGGCCCCCUGGACGAAGACUGACGCUCAGGUGCGAAAGCGUGGGGAGCAAACAGG